CAUUCCGCGGCGUACCGUUGCGUGCCUCGAUGUCAGCGCGGCGCGCGUCUCACGACGCGUCCGGCGCGGGCACUGGUCGCAGGGGUCUCGACGUUCGCGGACGGCGUGCACUUCUCUCUUAGUAUGCGUNCGCUUCGUGCGUCGCAUAUACAUCGCGACCCGUUCGUGGUNNNNNNCGGUCUAAGCAGUCAGUCCGGGNNAGCCGGGCGGCCGUGCGUCUAAACAACGCCGACCGCUCGACCGCGACACUCGCCGGCCGGCGACGGACGGUAUAUAAUUAAUAUAUGUAGGAAUCGCGCACGCGUUUCGNACGCGUCAGGCCCGACGCAAGUGUUCNGCGUCAUCGCCGACGUCCUGCCCGAGCGCGGACGCCGACGUGGCGCCUCUGUUGUCGCAGCCGGUGUCUUCUCUGACUGUGCGCGUGUCCGUCUGC
Molecule: ribosomal RNA, 433 nt
Filed under: Eurema simulatrix
Lineage: Eukaryota; Metazoa; Arthropoda; Insecta; Lepidoptera; Pieridae
Description: partial 28S ribosomal RNA
Source: RNAcentral